Mauremys mutica (yellowpond turtle) is the source of this 1562-nucleotide long non-coding RNA. RefSeq lists it as uncharacterized. Lineage: Eukaryota; Metazoa; Chordata; Testudines; Geoemydidae. The transcript is spliced from 3 exons. The record is from RefSeq and is a predicted model, not a curated record.
GAGCUGGAGGAGAGUGGAUGGUGUGCCUAGCUGGCUGAGGGAGCUGGAGGAUUUUGGACAGGGCAGUACUGCCAGAAGCUAGGGAGAGCAAGAAAGAGCCCUGAGCUGGACAAGACCUAGAGAAUUCCAGCUAUGGUGAUUUAUAGACUAUAUUUGUUGAUCACAUAUGGGUUAUUCCUUUGGGGCCCAUGAGACUGCUCUUGCUGCCAUCCUGAUUCAUACUUAAAAUUUACACCUCAUUUGUGGAAAACAGCGGGGCAGCACUAAGUAGAAGAAGAGCACUGACCUGGGACCAGCAACUCUUUGUGGUUUACUCGGUCAUCCAAAGAAUUCAGAAACACAAAGACAGGAUCCAAAUCUACCUUGGCAACCACCACAGUCUCCAAUGGCUCCGGGAAUUCCUGUUAAAUAGCAACACUAUGCCUACAUCUUUGACAAAAAGAAAGCUUAUACCCUACCAUUCCAUCGCUGUUAUGACUGCUCCAUCGACUUCCAUCUGGGAACAGAGGUUCCCUUUGGGUGCAUUUGCUUCCUCACUGAGUCCAAACUACAGGCACUCCAGAGCUACCUGCGGAAGAGGUUCCUUUGCCCCUCCACAUUUCCAGCAGGAAGCACCGUACUUCUUAAUUGCAAAAAGGAUGGCAUCUUGUGUGCACUACUGAGAGCUGAACAAAAUGACAAUCCAAAACUGGUACACUUUACUGCUUAUUAAUGAGCUGUUUGAAAGACUCUACUCUGCCGAGGUGUUCAAAGUUGGACCUCUGUGGAGCUUAUAACCUAGUAAGGAUCUGGGAAGGAGAUAAGUGGAAGACAGCCUGCUGUGCCAGGUAUGGCCACUUUGAGUAUUUAGUUAUGCAAUUUGGGUUGCACAAGGUCUCAGAAACCUUCCAGAAUUUUAUAAAUUACAUCUUUAGGGAUACUCUGAAACAAUUUAUUUACCUGGACAACAUCCUCAUUUUCUCUGAAACUCAAACUCUCCACCCUCAUCAAGUGUACAUUUCUUGGAGAGAGACUGCCGAAACCCCCUGUAUGCAAGAAUCAAAAAAUCUGAGUUUGAUAAGGACACAGUGGAAUUCUUGGGCUAUGUUGUUUUGCCAAAGAACUCACCAUUUGACCUGCAUCAAGUGGUGUCAAUAUCUUACUGGCUGCUCCGAGGAUGCAUGUGAGGUGCGAAGGUUUCUGGGGUUUGCCAAUUUCUACAGGUAAUUUAUGAAAUUAUUCUCUAGCCUAGUUGCACCCAUAGUGGUGCUCCUUCAAAAGGGGGCCCAGUUCACAUGGUCCACGGAGGCUCAGGCAGCCUUUGAUUGACUGAAGAGGGCAUUCAUCUCAGCCCAACGUUUCCUCUAAUUUUUUCCAUCCAUGUGCAGAAUAAAGUUUUGUUAUGCGCACUGACGUAAUGUGUGGAUGUCGCCACCAGUAGAAACAAAAAAAACUUGGAUAUGAUAUAAAACUUGAAAAAGUUACCCUAGGGAUAAUUACUCCAGCCAGGACACGUUAGGCAUUUUAGAACUCACUACUCAAAUGUAAGUGUAAGAGAAAUAAAAAUUAUGAAAUGCAUAGAU